This is a long non-coding RNA of Ochlerotatus camptorhynchus, 1899 nucleotides long. RefSeq lists it as uncharacterized. The record is from RefSeq and is a predicted model, not a curated record. The transcript is spliced from 2 exons. Lineage: Eukaryota; Metazoa; Arthropoda; Insecta; Diptera; Culicidae.
GGCCCCUGAUGGCACGACGUCUACCUUUUAAGCCGAAGUUGAUGCGUUUUGCAGGGGCGAAAGAUCUCCUUGUUCAUGUUUUCCUUUGGAAGGGAAAACUAAAAGCGAAAUAUACAGCAGUUCGUUGAGCCAUUAAAUUCCGUUGGUGAUCAAAUGCUUUGCUAGUUUUAUCCGCAGUGCAGCACAAACGUUCUGUAUCAACUCUUUCGAUUGCCUUAGAGUGUAGGAGUAGAAAACAGAGAAAAAUGUCGUAAAAAUAUAAUUCGUAAAAACUACUAGAUUUACCACUACAUACUAUUCGGCACAGUGAUGAAACGAAACUCUUAGCACACACGUUCGAAGAAAAAAAAACACGAACGAAUAUUGAAAUCUUUAAGACUCCAGAGUUGUCGGCACGCGUACGUCUCAUCAGGUAUAAGACAAAAGUGUGUAGUAAAUGCAUCUCAAUCAUAACCAAGUAGCCAACAGCGAUGAACUUACAUAAGAAUCGCAACAACAACAACAACAACAAAAUAUCACGUUAACACAUAACUAUCCCCACCAUUAAGCAAAAAAAAAAUGUAAAAGUAUUUGCAAGCAACAAGACACCAUUGAAAUAAAAUGUCAUAAGGAACACUCUAACGGUAUUCAGAACUGGUAUCAUCGUCGAUGUUCAAUCAUUCGUAGAUGUUAACAUUUUUGUAGGGAAAAGGAAACAGAAUUUACUCGAACAUAACCUGUGUUCCCCAAAACUAGCUUUUUAGUUUGACCCAGUGGAUAUUACCCGUUGGUAAAACAAAACAAUUUCAACGAUUUUGAAUGUUCAACUUACUUUCGACCGUGGAUGAACCACAUUUUUGCUCUUUGAUCUCUUUAAUAUCUUUGUAGAAAAUUCUCAAUAAUAUUCCUAACCGAAAGGGGUAAUAUCCACGCACAAUUGAGUGGCCAUUAAUAUGAUAAAGUUCAUAUAGAGAUCCAUCUUUUGUGCGCACCGUUUUUCGAGAAUCACUUAUUUUCUAGAAGAAGAAAAAAAAACAGAACAUAUAUAGCGGCAGUGUCAUCUCAUUUUUAGAUGUCUACUUGGAGAGCGAAAUUAAAAGUGCAAGCAAAAGCUUGCAUUUCAAACUAAAACGAAGAAACAAUUACAACUACAGUUCCACUUAUGUUCUCAACUAACUAAAAACUUACACAAAACAGCUGAAGUCAUAAAACAAAGGAUUCAAAUGCAAACAUCCAAAUCGCAGAAAAUGAUUAAUUGACAAAAGUUUUAUUCUCCUUCUCACAAAAUAAAAAAAAAGUAGUUGAAAGGUAAACUAACUGGAAUAAGACAGAAAAGGUAAUACUUUUAAUGGCGAUGGAUUCGUAUUCAAACGUGAAUUAACUAAUUACGAGUUGUACUUAACAAAAAAAAAACUAAUUCAAAAACCAAUUUCAAAACUAAAAAUGCAAGCUGUAUAAUUUUGUAUCCAUCGGAAGCAUAUCUCUGCGUAGGGCAUUGAAGGAAAAGUUAGAGCAAUCUAACAGCAAUGAAAUGAGAUAUAAACAACUUAAAUCAAAAUCCUGUACGAUGGAAGAAGCAGCAGUAGAUGUAGUGUAUAAUUUUUAAUUCUAGAAAUAAAUUUCAGUUUCUAUGAUAGAGGUCCAAUACAGGAACGAAUUCCAUGGAUGAAGAAGACCAUAAAUAAAACAAAGGUUCUCUUAUGGAACUUGUGGAAUGAAUUAAAAAAAAAACGGAAAAUGGAUAAUAUGAAAGAGUUUUGUAAAAACUUGUAUGUUUGUUAUAGCUUAUGUAAAGGUAUAGUGAAACAAAUAAAAUUUAAUUGAUAACAGGAGAAACAGCAGUAAACAUGGAUACAAAAACACACAGUAAUUGCAAUAAAUGUUAUAACGAACUGUAAAGGAAAUAAAAAUGAAAUCAUA